UUUUUUUUUUAAAAAAAAAAAAAGAUCGUUGUGAACAGCGGAAGGGAUCAUUAGCAAAGUCACGCGGCGGCGGGCGCGGGUUCUCCCCCGCUGGGCCCGCCAAGCGGCCAAGCAAUCAAAAUAAAUACCCUUCUGAACGUAACCUCUGAGUGGCGCGCGACGGAAAUAGAAGUCAAAACUUUCAGCAACGGAUCUCUUGGCUCUGGCAUCGAUGAAGAACGCAGCGAAAUGCGAUAAGUAAUGCGAAUUGCAGAAUUCAGCGAGUCAUCGAAUCUUUGAACGCACAUUGCGCCCGCCGGCACUCCGGCGGGCAUGCCUGUCCGAGCGUCAUACGACGAACCCCUCGGCGGGCCUCUUCCUCCCCCCUUUUUCCACCGGGGGAGGGGGAAGGCCCGCCGGCGUUGGCGUCCUCCCGGGAGAGAUCUCUCACCUAGGCGGGCUGCCUAAAUACAGAGGCGGGCCCCCGCAGCACCCCUGCGCAGCGAGCAUUCGUCGCAGGAGGGCGCAUCGGCGAGGGAUGAAACCCGGCCCAACCCCAAGCACCAAGAAAGGUGAAAAGCGAGCUUGACCUCGGAUCAAGGUAGGACUACCCGCUGAACUUAAGCAUAUCAAUUAAGCGGAGGAAAAGAAACCCACCGGGAUUGCCCCCCAGUAACGGCGAGUGAAGCGGCAACAGCUCAAAUUUGAAAUUCUGGCUUCGGCCCGAGUUGUAAUUUGCAGAGGGUGCUUCUGGAGAUGCGCCGUCCGAGUCCCCUGAAACGGGGCGCCGGAGAGGGUGAGAGCCCCCGUACGGACGGAUGCUGAAACCUGCGUGAAGCCCCUUCGACGAGUCGAGUAGUUUGGGAAUGCUGCUCUAAGCGGGAGGUAAAUUCCUUCUAAAGCUAAAUACCGGCCAGAGACCGAUAGCGCACAAGUAGAGUGAUCGAAAGAUGAAAAGCACUUUGGAAAGAGGGGUUAAAAAAGUACGUGAAAUUUGCUGAAAGGGGAAAGCGCCUGCGGCCAGACUCGCCUCCCGCGGAUCAUCCGGUGUUCUUCGCCGGUGCACUUUCGCUGGGGGGCGGGCCAGCAUCGGCUUCCGCGCCGGGGGAAUAAAAGCUUGGGGAACGUAGCUCCCUCCGGGGAGGUGUUACAGCCCCUCGCCUAAUGUCCCGGGGCGGGCCGAGGACUGCGCCCUACGGGAAGAUUGUGCGAUUAUGGCCCCGGGGGCCCUUUUUAAAAACGAAAAAAA
RNAcentral lists this ribosomal RNA (1228 nucleotides) under Ascomycota sp. L300. RNAcentral's name for it is "eukaryotic LSU rRNA". The stretch from base 566 to 1228 matches the Rfam family "Eukaryotic large subunit ribosomal RNA", at positions 1 to 668 of the family's 3401-position model. The record is from RNAcentral. Lineage: Eukaryota; Fungi; Ascomycota.